This 430-nucleotide ribosomal RNA is filed under the name uncultured bacterium. RNAcentral's name for it is "partial 16S ribosomal RNA". It matches the Rfam family "Bacterial small subunit ribosomal RNA", at positions 338 to 795 of the family's 1533-position model. The record is from RNAcentral.
CCUACGGGGGGCUGCAGUAAGGAAUAUUGGACAAUGGGCGCAAGCCUGAUCCAGCCAUGCCGCGUGAAGGACGAAGGCGUCAGCGUUGUAAACUUCUUUUGGACGGGAACGGGUACUGUCAGAAUAAGCACCGGCUAACUCCGUGCCAGCAGCCGCGGUAAUACGGAGGGUGCAAGCGUUAUCCGGAAUCACUGGGUUUAAAGGGUGCGUAGGCGGUCAAGUAAGUCAGUCGUGAAAUCGCUGGGCUCAACCCAGCAAUUGCGAUUGAUACUGCAUGACUUGAAUGGGGUUAAGGCAGGCGGAAUGUGGCAUGUAGCGGUGAAAUGCAUAGAUAUGCCAUAGAACACCGAUUGCGAAGGCAGCCUGCUGGGCUAUUGACGCUGAGGCACGAAAGCGUGGGGAGCAAACAGGAUUAGAUACCCUUGUAGUC